Long non-coding RNA from Dermochelys coriacea (leatherback sea turtle), 538 nucleotides. RefSeq lists it as uncharacterized. The transcript has 2 exons. Lineage: Eukaryota; Metazoa; Chordata; Testudines; Dermochelyidae. The record is from RefSeq and is a predicted model, not a curated record.
CCCAGUUGCAAUUUCGUAGCUUCCAACUGUGAUCUAAAGAGCGUCCAGUUGCUGUACCACAUCUCCUUUCAUCUCCAUCUACUGGGGACAGGAAUAUGUAGUCCAGCAGAGGAAGAGAAAGAGCCUGUGUGGGUUCCAACUGCUGAUUUCUGCCUGCAAGAGGAGGAAUGAUAUUGCAGUCCUUUUGACUCAGCAGACUGUAUAGAGUUGAUGAACAAGGAAUCUAAUUGACACUCUGGUGAACUCAACCUAAGCUUUUGGAACUUUGAGUCAUUUCUCACUGCAUUUCUGUGGGGACUGACCUGUUUAGAUUUAAUUUCUUUCUUUUUGUUAUAUUUAUGUAUAACUGUGAAGAUAAUAUAUGUAGAUCAUGAAGUAGUCUUGUUGUUAGUCAGAAAUUAAGCUAUUAUUACCAUGUUUCUUUCUCAUUCUAAAAUUUUAUAGAGUUGGUGCUCAAAUAAGUUCAUUUGUCUUGUUCUUUUUGGACUUGACUGUGGGUAGGUUGCCCCGUGCAAUCCUUGAUGAAAAUCCUCAAAGA